RNAcentral lists this unclassified non-coding RNA (223 nucleotides) under uncultured Tomentella. RNAcentral describes it as "partial internal transcribed spacer 2". The record is from RNAcentral. Lineage: Eukaryota; Fungi; Basidiomycota; Agaricomycetes; Thelephorales; Thelephoraceae.
ACACCUCAACUCUUCAUGGUUUUCCUUGAUGAGCUUGGACUUUGGGGGUCUUGCUGGCCUGUGGGUCGGCUCCCCUCAAAUGAAUCAGCUUGCCAGUGUUUUGGUGGCAUCACAGGUGUGAUAACUAUCUAUACUUGUGGUUUUCCACCAAGUAACCUUCAGCAAUGGGGGUUCGCUGGAGCUCACAAAUGUCUCUCAUCAGUGGGGGACAGCCCUUUUGAAC